This 245-nucleotide unclassified non-coding RNA is filed under the name Hevea brasiliensis (rubber tree). Lineage: Eukaryota; Viridiplantae; Streptophyta; Magnoliopsida; Malpighiales; Euphorbiaceae. The record is from RNAcentral.
AAAACAUUUGUCAAAACUUGAAUACUAGUACAGUAACUAUUCUUUUACAUAUUACAUGUCCACCAAUUGCACAACAUAUACAAAAAUACUCUACGGCUACUUCGGCUGCUCAAGCUUCAAAGACACUUUUAUUCCUACACUCCUGCACCUAUGUUUAUGGGAAAGGGGUGAGCUUAUACAAGCUCAGUGAGUAAACUAACAAAAAACAUUUAAUUACAAUCUUCAUUUCAUACAUAUGCAAUGCA